RNAcentral lists this ribosomal RNA (545 nucleotides) under Sporobolomyces pararoseus. Its description in RNAcentral is "Sporidiobolus pararoseus partial large subunit ribosomal RNA". It matches the Rfam family "Eukaryotic large subunit ribosomal RNA", at positions 49 to 630 of the family's 3401-position model. The record is from RNAcentral. Lineage: Eukaryota; Fungi; Basidiomycota; Microbotryomycetes; Sporidiobolales; Sporidiobolaceae.
UGCGGAGGAAAAGAAACUAACAAGGAUUCCCCUAGUAGCGGCGAGCGAAGCGGGAAAAGCUCAAAUUUGUAAUCUGGCGUCUUCGACGUCCGAGUUGUAAUCUCGAGAAGUGUUUUCCGUGAUAGACCGCAUACAAGUCUCUUGGAACAGAGCGUCAUAGUGGUGAGAACCCAGUACACGAUGCGGAUGCCUAUUACUUUGUGAUACACUUUCGAAGAGUCGAGUUGUUUGGGAAUGCAGCUCAAAUUGGGUGGUAAAUUCCAUCUAAAGCUAAAUAUUGGCGAGAGACCGAUAGCGAACAAGUACCGUGAGGGAAAGAUGAAAAGCACUUUGGAAAGAGAGUUAACAGUACGUGAAAUUGUUGGAAGGGAAACACAUGCAGUGAUACUUGCUAUUCGGGGCAACUCGAUUGGCAGGCCCGCAUCAGUUUUUCGGGGCGGAAAAGCAUAGAGAGAAGGUAGCAGUUUCGGCUGUGUUAUAGCUCUUUAUUGGAUUCGCCCUGGGGGACUGAGGAACGCAGCGUGCUUUUUGCAUGAGCUUCGGCU